GCGGCAGCGCGGGGCAACCUGGCGGCGAGCGGCGAACGGGUGAGUAAUGUAUCGGAACGUGUCCUGUCGUGGGGGAUAGCCCGGUGAAAGCCGGAUUAAUACCGCAUACGAUCGAGAGAUGAAAGUGGGGGACCGCAAGGCCUCACGCGAUAGGAGCGGCCGAUAUCUGAUUAGCUAGUUGGUGGGGUAAAGGCCCACCAAGGCGACGAUCAGUAGCUGGUCUGAGAGGAUGAUCAGCCACACUGGGACUGAGACACGGCCCAGACUCCUACGGGAGGCAGCAGUGGGGAAUUUUGGACAAUGGGGGCAACCCUGAUCCAGCCAUUCCGCGUGAGUGAAGAAGGCCUUCGGGUUGUAAAGCUCUUUUGUCCGGGAAGAAACGGUUUCACCUAAUACGUGAGACUACUGACGGUACCGGAAGAAUAAGGACCGGCUAACUACGUGCCAGCAGCCGCGGUAAUACGUAGGGUCCAAGCGUUAAUCGGAAUUACUGGGCGUAAAGCGUGCGCAGGCGGUUGUGUAAGCCAGAUGUGAAAUCCCCGGGCUUAACCUGGGAAUGGCAUUUGGGACUGCACGGCUAGAGUACGGCAGAGGGGACUAGAAUUCCUGG
This 610-nucleotide ribosomal RNA is filed under the name uncultured bacterium. RNAcentral's name for it is "bacterial SSU rRNA". It matches the Rfam family "Bacterial small subunit ribosomal RNA", at positions 66 to 673 of the family's 1533-position model. The record is from RNAcentral.